RNAcentral lists this ribosomal RNA (481 nucleotides) under uncultured bacterium. RNAcentral's name for it is "partial 16S ribosomal RNA". It matches the Rfam family "Bacterial small subunit ribosomal RNA", at positions 28 to 507 of the family's 1533-position model. The record is from RNAcentral.
GAUGAACGCUGGCGGCGUGCCUAACACAUGCAAGUCGAACGGAGAUUACGGACGGAAGUUUUCGGAUGGAAGACUGUAAUUCUUAGUGGCGGACGGGUGAGUAACGCGUGGGCAACCUGCCCUAUACAGGGGGAUAGCAGCUGGAAACGGCUGGUAAGACCGCAUAAGUCGGUUAAAUCGCAUGAUUUGAUCGGGAAAUGAGCAAUCAGGUAUAGGAUGGGCCCGCGUCCGAUUAGCCAGUUGGCAGGGUAAAAGCCUACCAAAGCGACGAUCGGUAGCCGGACUGAGAGGUCGGACGGCCACAUUGGGACUGAGACACGGCCCAAACUCCUACGGGAGGCAGGAGUGGGGGAUAUUGCACAAUGGAGGAAACUCUGAUGCAGCGACGCCGCGUGAGUGAAGAAGUAUUUCGGUAUGUAAAGCUCUAUCAGCAGGGAAGAUGAUGACGGUACCUGACUAAGAAGCCCCGGCUAACUACGUG